RNAcentral lists this ribosomal RNA (458 nucleotides) under Cronobacter sakazakii. RNAcentral describes it as "partial 23S ribosomal RNA". It matches the Rfam family "Bacterial large subunit ribosomal RNA", at positions 2259 to 2716 of the family's 2925-position model. The record is from RNAcentral. Lineage: Bacteria; Pseudomonadati; Pseudomonadota; Gammaproteobacteria; Enterobacterales; Enterobacteriaceae.
UGGUGGGUAGUUUGACUGGGGCGGUCUCCUCCCAAAGUGUAACGGAGGAGCACGAAGGUCAGCUAAUCCUGGUCGGACAUCAGGAGGUUAGUGCAAUGGCAUAAGCUGGCUUGACUGCGAGAGUGACGGCUCGAGCAGGUGCGAAAGCAGGUCAUAGUGAUCCGGUGGUUCUGUAUGGAAGGGCCAUCGCUCAACGGAUAAAAGGUACUCCGGGGAUAACAGGCUGAUACCGCCCAAGAGUUCAUAUCGACGGCGGUGUUUGGCACCUCGAUGUCGGCUCAUCACAUCCUGGGGCUGAAGUAGGUCCCAAGGGUAUGGCUGUUCGCCAUUUAAAGUGGUACGCGAGCUGGGUUUAGAACGUCGUGAGACAGUUCGGUCCCUAUCUGCCGUGGGCGCUGGAGAAUUGAGGGGGGCUGCUCCCAGUACGAGAGGACCGGAGUGGACGCAUCACUGGUGUU